Molecule: long non-coding RNA, 933 nt
Filed under: Heterocephalus glaber (naked mole-rat)
Lineage: Eukaryota; Metazoa; Chordata; Mammalia; Rodentia; Bathyergidae
Description: lncRNA (ENSHGLG00000038798.1)
Source: RNAcentral
AAUUAAUUUUUGUCUUCUCAAUAUUGUAGCCAGCCUCUCUAAAUGGAACUGUGAAGUUUAGGUUCUUUCCCUUAGGGAUAGCCGACUUCUCCCAACUUCUUCCUGCUGAGCACACAGCCCACACCUCCUCUGCUGGGCCCAGGAGAAGCCACGGAAAGUGCAGCUGCCCAGAGCCCCGGAGGCGGAGCCGCUUCCUUCGCCUUAGGAGGAGGAGCAGCUGAAGCUGCCGCAGGACGCAGGAUCCGCAGUGCAAUGACCCAUCGCGUCUGCUCGCCUCCCCUCUGCUCCCCACCGUGAGGGGCCCGCCCCACCAGGCAGCGGGUGGUGACCUCCGCAGGAGGGCAGAUGUCUGGGCUGGGUCCUGGGAUUCAGUCACAGACCCCGUCCUCAUGGAGAGGGGCGACACAGGAACAGGACAUCGAGGAUCCCAAGGUGGUGCUGGGCACUGCUCAGAGAGGCAGAAUGCCAGGGAAGGACAAAGGACCCUGCUCUGCCCGGCCGUGCAUGCUGGGCCAGGGAUCGGAGACUGGCAAUACCAAGAGGAAACACACUUUUAAAAGAAAAUCUCCCUGGGGUCUUCAGACACCUGGAGCCUGUGACUUGGGCCCUGGGCCAAGCUUUGCACCUGUGAGCAGUGCUUCCUCCCACAGACUCUGCCCUGCAGGAAGCAGAGGCAGGAGUGGGCAGUGGAUCUCAGCUUCACACAGGGAAACGGUUUGCAGGUUUGCACUGCGACACAGCUGCUGGGUGGGUGACUGAUGGAAAGCAGCACACACACCCCAGAUCGCCCAUCCUGAAGACACCCAAGCCCCAUAAAUACACCAGGCUCGGGUCAUAAGGAGCCUCCCUCCCUUGAGGACCCACACUCUAUUUCUUUGAGCCCGUACUUUUAAGUUGCCACCUAAUAAAUCCCUUAAUGCUGCUUGCUGAUGC